RNAcentral lists this long non-coding RNA (1628 nucleotides) under Pelobates cultripes (western spadefoot toad). The record is from RNAcentral. Lineage: Eukaryota; Metazoa; Chordata; Amphibia; Anura; Pelobatidae.
AGCAGAUCAACCAUCACUGAAAAUGGGAAAGGUAAGAUGAUCUGAAUAUUGUAAAUAUUUGCAACACAAGAAAUUUUGGAAACAAUAAACAGAUUUUUUUUUUUUUAAAUGAACCAAAGCAAAUUCAAGUUUAAAAUGCUUACAUUGAAUGCCAGCAAACUUUAUCCUAUACAAUAUAUCCUGGUGAGUUUAUCUAGGCCAGAAACAUGACAACAUAAUAUUCCAUAAACUAGUUUUGGACAUUUGCCGCCUCAUCAAAUACAAAUUCAUCAGAACACAUGCUUCACAUGUUUACUUUUUUCAGACUCAAGAGUAAGAUUUUUUCAGUUUUUGAAAGUACUUUCUAGUGAAUGCCACUAUUAACCGUAAUAAAUUGCUAUAAUUAUGUGAAAGUGAAUGCAAGUUCACCAAUCUAAAAAAACACAAAAUGUACCAAAAACAUAUAUUCCAAUUCGGUCCUAAACUUAUAUGUUUAACACCUACACUUUAUUAUUUGAACAGGAUAAUAGUAAAUGUUUUUAGGAAUCUAUAGCAUCAAGUAAUCAAACCAGAAACUAUUUUUUAAAUGAAAUUAUUAACCACUAAAACAAUAACAAACUAAAAAAUCUAAAAUGUUCAAAUGCAUGGUUGUUUCACAGAUUGUCUUCUACGAGGAUCGUAACUUCCAGGGCCGCUCUUAUGAGUGCAACUCUGAGUGUCCAGAUAUGUCCUCAUAUUUUCAGCGCUGUAAUUCCAUCCGAGUGGAAAGUGGAAACUGGAUUCUGUAUGAGCACCCCAACUAUAGAGGACGCCAGUAUUACCUUAGCAGGGGAGAAUAUCCUAAUUUCCAGCAAUGGAUGGGUUUCAAUGACUCCAUCAGAUCUUGUCGUAUUAGCCCACAGGUAAAGAUAUUUACCAAAAUAGUUAAGAACCUUACAUAAAUAUGAUGCAGUACAAAAAAACAUUAUUUUCCAAUUAUCAAUUAUUAUAGGUUUACCUUUGCAAAUAUGACCUUUUUUGACUAUUAUUCAUUAUUUUAUGGAAUAUAUCUUCAAUUCAAAAUUCCAUUGUCAGGUAACAGGUGGUUAACAUGGAUAAAUAUAUAUAUAUAUAUAUAUAUAUAUAUUUAUAUAUAUAUAUAUAUAUAUGUAUAUAUAUAUAUAUAUAUAUAUAUAUAUAUAUAUAUAUAUAUAUAUAUAUAUAUAUAUAUAUAUAUAUAUAUAUAUUCCUGUAUAGAUUUUUGAUGUUUACAUGCAAUUAUACAAUUAUUUUACUCUUGUUUAUAAAUAUUUUUUUCUUCGUAAAGCACCAUGGAUCAUUCAGAGUAAAGGUCUAUGAGAGGGAGGAUUUCCGAGGUCAGAUGAUGGAGUUCACUGAAGAUUGUGUUAAUGUCAAUGAGAGAUUCCGUUACCAUGACAUCCACUCCUGCCAGGUGAUUGAUGGCUACUGGAUGUUCUAUGAGGAACCAAAUUACAAAGGACGCCAGUAUUACCUGAGACCUGGAGAGUACAAAAGAUAUACUGACUGGGGUGCCAUGAGCCCAAGAAUUGGCUCAUUCAGGAGACUUCACCAUUUCUAAUAAGUUGUAUUUAUUACUAAAUCAGCAUGUCAUUAAGAAUAUAAUAAAAGCAUCAAAAAUUAUCUUUAAG